This is a microRNA precursor of Gorilla gorilla gorilla (western lowland gorilla), 60 nucleotides long. Lineage: Eukaryota; Metazoa; Chordata; Mammalia; Primates; Hominidae. The record is from Ensembl.
UGUGAAUGACCCCCUUCCAGAGCCAAAAUCACCAGGGAUGGAGGAGGGGUCUUGGGUACU